Molecule: long non-coding RNA, 2903 nt
Organism: Brassica napus (rape)
Lineage: Eukaryota; Viridiplantae; Streptophyta; Magnoliopsida; Brassicales; Brassicaceae
Exons: 2
Source: RefSeq, a predicted model, not a curated record
GGGAAGAUAAGCGUAGACGGGUAAACAUGGAUGACUAUUUGUGGACAAGUAAAAUUAUGAUUAAAAUUCAAAAUCCAGCAUACUAUAUAUCUCAUGGUGGAGGACUGUAACGAGCUCGAACCACCACAGCUUCACCGAGCUCAUCCACGACGAUGUUGAGCUCAGAAUCCAUGGUGUGGCUCAUCGGGAAGAGGAGCUGACUGUUUUGACCGGGGGUUUUGGAGGAGGAGAUGACUCGUUUUAACUUUUUGGUUUGUUUAGCUUUGUUUUCAUCAUUCAAGCUUGUUUUUUUUUCCUCGACAUUUACGUUGUAGUCAUUGGUUUGAAGUUAUUAAUUUGUUCAUCCUUGAAAUGGUGGACACAUUGGCAUCUAUGUCACAGUCUAUCAAUAUGUUAUAUUUUUAUAUCUAUGUUUAGUGUUUGAGUUACUACUCUAUCCACCACAUCAAGCUUCAAUUCCCUAUACACAAAUUUAAGAGAUCUCUCUUGUUAUUUAUUCAUGGUUAUGUUAGCGUCUAUAUCCAAAACAUAAUCAAAAUCUUCUCAUCCCCAUUCACAGACAGACAUUGUUGUUGGAGUUGUGUCUUUAAAUUCAACUAUUGUGGAGCUUGAUCUGAAGAAGCUUCUGGAAUUUUUACACUCAUCUUCAUCCACGCAUCACCCGUCCACGUAUCAUCCGUCCACGCAUCAAAUAUCUAAUAAGAGCAAAGUUGUCCACAGUUUAAUGCUGGCCCACAACAAAGUGUCUCACAUGUAGGAAGUGGCUCUGAGUGUAAAGAAAAGUCAAAAAGUGACUUAAAGAGUAAUCAGCUCAAAAUUAAAAGCUUAAAUCCCAUCCCAUUACAAAACUCGAAAAUAAAAGCCCAACGUAAUUUUAGCCCACAUUAAACUAGUUCAGGUAUCUCUUAGCACGCAAAGUCCAUGCGUCCUCCAUGCAACACUUCCAGGACAAGCGUCAUCUCUCUCAUUCAACUCGAGUUUCUGGAGACGCGACUGCACGCGCCGCCGCAGGGGAUGGAAAACUCGAAUCACCGGCGUAACUUCUUCCAUGAUCGUACAACUUCGAGCUUUAGACCCUCAAUCUUGCACUCUCAUUGUUUGCCUUCCACUUCAACCGCUGAAACUCGAACAGAAAACCUUCAACCACCGGAGUUAAACCUGAAGAAUCAUAAGUCGAGAUGAAGUAAGAUCCUUUACAGGACCAUUACAAAACGCAUGUUCUUCUGAAUCCACUUCAAAUAACGACUCGGAGAAUCCAUCUAACCCAACCUUCUUCCAUCAGAGAUGCUUCACAACGCCAUAAAUGGCUAAACACAUAGAGAAAUCUGAUUCUCCUAGAAAUCAGUUGAAUUGAACGGUGGAAAAAGGAAACUGUAUCGGAAUCAAGACGGGAUUAAAAUGAAACUCCAAGUGAAAAGCAGAUUUAUUUGGUUCAAUCCAAAAGCAAUAAAAAGAAGUAACCUUGAAGAACAAAUCUGAUUAUGGAUUGAAACACAAAACAAAAAGAUGACCAAAGCGAAAUAAACACAACAAAAUAAACUCGCCUAACGAAAACUGAUUCGCCUAGGGAAAGUUUAGAUUCGAUCUAAGAUCGAAAAUAUACACAUCUGAAAGACAAAAUAUCAUGUAUUAGAUGCUUAGACCAUGUUUAUCCCAGGUUCCUAACUGGGUUUUUAACAAAAAUAGAAGAUUUAAUUAAAUCAAAAAUAAUUAUAAAGUUCAUUACCGAUCCUUAAGUGAGGAUUCUGGGAACCGAUUUUAAUGGGGUUUCACAACCACGUGUCAGCAAAGGAAAGGCACCAGAUUUUUUUUUCUCUUUUUUUUUUGUUUUCUCAUCUUCUCUGUCAUUCCGAAAUCCACCACCUCUUCUCUCGGCUUCUCCGUCAGAGACGAUCGAUUAAUCUGUCGGUCAUCACGGCGUGUCCUCCGUGUUCUCCGUCAAACGAGCACUCGAAACCCACCGAGAGGACAGCAUGAUUUGGAUGCUGAUUACAGUCAUAAGAGGGCAGCAUGAUUUGGACGCUGAUUACCGUCAUAAGAGGACAGCUCUCCCACCAAAAUCUCUCUUCAAUUCUUCUAUUUUAGAUGCUGUGAAGAGGCAGAUGACUAAGAACGAUGAAAAGCAUCAAAAGGUACAAACUUUUUUAAAACCCAACAAGAUUCGAUUCUUUACUCUUUAUUAUCAUAGAUGAUGACAUGGUAUUGGUCGGUAAGAUUUCAACCUGACGUUACCAUAUCAUGGAGAGAUUAUUUCAUUAGAGGUAAACUAACUUAAACUAUGUCCUGCACUUCCUUUGGCCAUUACUUCCUGUGUGAUUUAAUAUAUAUGGUAGUGAGAACUUUCUGCAACUUUUACAAUGCAAGGUAUCAAAUGUGAUGACAGUUUUUGCUCACUCUUGAUUCAACUUUAGAAAUACAGAGUUUGACCUGUUUUAAAUAUGAGUCAGGUUCGAGUUUUUUUAUUUAAGUUUGAAGGUUUGUAAUUUUCGUUUUGGUAGAUUUUAGUGAUAUGGGUCUAUUAUCAGUCUCAUGUGGGUUAUUUUCUUUUGAAUAUAAACCAUUUUGCAUCAGUUACUUACGGAUGUUGGUUCUGCUCUUUAUGGUAAUACAGGAAGGAGAGCUACUUGUGCUGCUUACAGAUGGUAGAAAGCUAAUGGGAACACUCUGUUCUUUUUGAUCAAUUGAGAAGAAGAGGAAGCCUGUCUGUAAGGUAUUCUCAACACACUCCAUUCUCUUUAUCUUUAUGAUGCAUUGUAUUCAAAUUCCAAGUCUUGUGAUGUGGGUUAGAGUUAAAGCGGGUUUAGGAAUUUUCAGCCAUUUCUGAUAUAGAUUAUUUCAUUUUUGGAUGAUGCAUUGUAUUUCAUUUGCAUUGUAUUAAUAAUUUUUUUUUCUAAGAAUCCUUA